CUGGAGUCUGGUGGACAGCUGUUAUCUCCAAAGACAAACAAAGACGCUUUUACUUGAUUCUUUUAUUUCUGUGCCACUGUUUGGUCUGAGACGCUCAUGCUCUCCUGUUUGGUGACAUGUUUUUUUGGAAGCUGUACGUAGCAGCAGAACUGGCUGCAGCAGCUGGUCAAGGUCCACCCACUGUCACUCAAACUGGCUCCACCUCAGCUUCCACACUCCCACUGACGGCCCAGCACCAUUUCACUUUCCCUUCACACUGCAGGACGGACAGACAGACAGAGCUGGGGCCAAAGACAGCUGCAGGACUCGGAAACUGCGGGAAGAGGAUUGAAGUGGACGAAACGCGAAUCAUUCGCCCCUGCAGAACCGUGAGUGAGACGUCGUCAUAAUGGGGUCGAGCUGUACGAAGGGUCAGUGGGACGGAGAGUAUGAACGGUCCAAAAGACCAAAACGUGGACGGAAGACGGAGAAAGAAAGAGAGGAAAUGAAAAAGGACAAGGAAGACUUUAUGUUUCCUUUCACUUAUGAUUUGUGUGAUUUGAACGAUUUCAAUGAAAUGUUGAACUCAGAUGAGAGCUGGGAUUUUGCGUACGUCUGUGAACGUGCUGCUAAAUUGGAGAAAACAGCCAAAAAACUACCCAAAAUUCAACCUGAACCACCGGCCGCCGCCACCCCUCCACCCAGGAUCACAUAUGAAACCCAACAACCAAUAACUGAGACACUGAAUUCAGUUCCACCCAGCGUGGAGAAAUUACUGGCACAGCUAAAAUUCGGCGGACUUAAUUACGACUUGCUCCUUCGUGAGGAGGGAAGCCCGAGAACUGGUCCGCAUCCUCCGCUGCCUGCACAAGGCUCUGAUGCACCUGUGGAGUCAGCCGUUAGUCCACAACAUAGAGCAGAAGAGAAACCGGAGAGGGGAAAAGAAAAGGAGGAGGAAAAACCGAGGUCUGUCGUAGAAAAUCCAGUUUGCCAGGUAGAAAAGGAGAGACGUGUGGAGCCUGUGUGGACCCCCGCAGAGCUCCUGAACCUGGUACAAAGCGCCCCCAACCCCAUCAUAAAACCCAGAGAUUUCCACGCGUGGCUGUGUAACGUUUGCAGUGCGUACGAACUGCGUCCCGCUGACGUCCACAAGCUGCUGGAGUUCGUUUACAACCGUGAGUGGAAAAAUGUUGAGCAGAACUUUAACAUCCCUGGAGCAGACGGUAACGCCGACUGGCGAGGCGCUGAUGCGAUGGCGACGUGGCUCGACAACGCCUGUUGGGACUCUAUUAGUAAAUGCGUGUGGCAAAAAGCCAAUUUUUCUGCCGUACAGUGCUGCCAUCAGAAAAAUCAAGAGCCGGUAACGGAUUUCCUUGAGCGUUUCCAGCAGGUGUGGGAGUCCACUCUGGGCGUCGAUAUUGACAGCGUUGGUCUAACAAUGAUGAUAAACCUCUUACAACCUCACGUGGUGGCUGUUUUCAAAGAACGCUGUAUUCUGUGGUCGACAGUUAAUUUUACAAAGGCCAAACAUUGGUUAUCAAGCAUGGAGAGGCUCGGAGGGUUCGAGCCAAAGCGCAAAGGUCGAUGCCCGGCGAAGCAGCUAGGGGAUUCUGGACCAGAGCGGCUGCAGCUGGAAGCGCCGCCUCGGUUCAGGCAGCUGCGCAGAGAUAAGAGAAGCGAUCGGUGCUUUAACUGCGGCACAUUCGGACACUGGGCCAGAGAGUGUCGAGCUAAACGUCAACGAUACUCUCGAACACAUCCGGACGCUUGGACAUGGACGCACACGUAUACAGAGGCUAAAACCGCCGCUGCUGUGCCCUUCCAGAUUGGUUAUUAUUAAAUCGCUGAGUUUUAAAAAUGUGCCUUUUGUAAUUAGCAUUUGAUUUAUAUUAAAACCUUUGUUGCAUGUUGUCUUUAAAUUUAUCUAAAUUUAAAUUUGAUUAACAAAAUGAGAUUGAAGAGAAAUUAUACUAAAUAUGUUCAGCAAAAAACUGCGAAGGAAUUAUUAUUAGGGAUGCACGAUAAUUAUCAGGACAGAUCAUUUCUGAAUUAAAAUCGGGAUUAUUAAAUUAUAGAUGAUAAAUUAUCUGUUUUAACCAACCAUGAACCACAACAAUCCCCAGUGUGGAUUCAGUCUGUCACCUUUGUUGCAUCAAAUCUCUUUCUCUCUCUCUACUGAAAGACAUAAUUCACUGGUUGAGAAAAACAAUGCAAACAACCAGAUGUUCUAUGUUUACACUCUAUAAACAAAUGACAAAAAACAUUUGUUUGCAUCAAUCUUUUUGAGUUUUGACAACUUCUAAUGAAAUUAUGUUAUGUAUUUUUAUUUUUUUUAAUUACCACUUAAAUAAUAAUUUGAUUGCAUAAUAUUGUUUUUUUUGUUGUUGUUUAUUAGGCUACACUGUGGAAGCUGUUAAGUUAAUUUAACUCAAAAAAAAAAAGUUUAGUAAAACAAAGUACAGAAACAUUAUUGAUCAGUAAUUUUAACUGACACUGACUAAAACUUUGUAUAUUUUAUUUUGUAUUGUGAAAACAAAAUAACUAAAAACUACUUAAACAGGAAUGUUUCUGUAACUUACAAAACUAUGUUUGUGUAACUUAAAAUUAAGAAUCUUUUUUAACCUAAAUUAAGUUUGUGUUAUGUUAACAUUUUAAAUGUUCAAUUUUAAUACUUUUUUUGAGUUUAAAUUACUUAUCACAUCACAGUGUACUCAUAAAAAUGUAAUUGUUCCAACUUAAAAGGUUUAUGUAAAUAAAUUAACUAGUAUGUUUAUCUUGGAACUUUAAUUAAGUGGUGGUAAUAGGUCCACUGAAUUACAUUGGAGAUUGUGCUUCAUGCCAUCAGACACUCACCUACCAGAACUACCAGGCUGAGUCUACAUAUGAUUCUAACCUGAAGACGUCUGUCAGUGCAAGCUGAAACCCUACAGAACUGUUACGGCUCAGAAAGACUCUAAAAAACGUUCUGAUAAAGUUUUACUUCAGGUUUUCGUUUGCCUGCCAGAUCCUGGAGGAGAAAAGGAGACUUUGUGUUUGGUCUCUUGUGUCUGUGUCUCUUUAUCUCCUUGAUCGUGAGGUCCCUACAACUGCUGUUAACCACGAGAACCCCUUCUAAAGGUGGAUCCAUCCAGGCUGGAUCAAUAGGUACAGCAGAGAAUGGAAACAAGUAAAGGAGGAAACAAGGAAACGAGUGCACAGACGGGGCCGAAAAUCAGCCGGAGGAAUGUCCCCACUCAGCCAUGUUCCUCCUCCAUGGCACAGUGCCGAUGUGCCCUCAUCCACAAUAGGGAGCGAGUCCUCUUCUGGCGGAGUCCGCCAUGUUGAAGCACCAUGUUUCUACAUUAAAAUGAUAAACAGAUUAAGGACGCCGUACGGCAGCCAUCGUGCAGAGAGGUGAAAUAGGCGCUGGCCACCAGAGCGUGGGCGGUUCAUCACCAGUAGGCGAGAGACGGGUGUGACCACACGUCUCUCAAACUCACGAAGAGGUGACACACUGCGAGCUGAGGUCACGCUGCUGACACGAUGACGCCCCCUCCCUUCAGACGACCAGGACGCAGCCUGAUACCUCUCCUCCUCCUCCUCCUCUUCCUCUUCCUCUCAUCAUUGUAGAAAUAUCCUGUGUUUUUUUUUCAUUUAUAUUUUAGCUUGCUCAGCACAUUUAGCACACAAACAGUGUUUUUUUUAGCAUUGAUGGUUAUUGAGAUGUUUUGGUUAUUCAUCAGCAGUUAUUAGAUCUCCUGCUGCCGGUCUUAAAGCUGCUGUAGGUCAAUCUUUCUCUGUAUCCCGACAGAAGAACAUGAGACAGAUAAUCUCACUGGGAAAAUGGAGUUUGGUAUUUCACAUUUAUGUUAAUGUUCAUUUAAAGAUUCCCAUCAGCUCUGAUGUUGUUUGGUGUUUGAAUGUUUUUAUAUUGUUCAUAAAGAUUUAAGAAGAAGAACCUCUGGCUUCCCUCUUUUUUUAUUUUUGUUAUUCAGGCAUAAAAAAAUACUGUUGUAUAUUGAGUAGCGAUGAUGUGAAGAUGUAUUGAAGAGAAGUCGCUGACACUGUCUUGAUUGUAUAUAAAGGUUUAUUAGUCCAGCAUAGGCAUAGGCUUUUAUAGGGAAGGAACAUCUGAUUCUUGUGGUGGAAGUUUGACCGAAUAAAGGAAAAACCAACAAAGAGAAA
This is an RNA transcript of Dicentrarchus labrax (European seabass), 4143 nucleotides long. RefSeq lists it as uncharacterized. The record is from RefSeq and is a predicted model, not a curated record. The transcript has 4 exons. Lineage: Eukaryota; Metazoa; Chordata; Actinopteri; Moronidae.